GGGAUUGCCCGUAGUAUUCGGCGAGUGAACAGGCAAGAGCUCAGAUUUGAAAGGCACUUUUGUGCCGUUGUAUUCUGAAGUUAGGGUCCUGAGAAACGAUGCUUAAGUCUUCUGGAAAGGAGCGCCAUGGAGGGUGAUAGCCCCGUCUAGCAUUGACCUCAUAUAGGAUCUUAACAUGGAGUCGAGUUGUUUGGGAAUGCAGCUCAAAUGGGUGGUAUGCUCCAUCUAAAGCUAAAUAUCUGCGAGAGACCGAUAGUAAACAAGUACUGUGAGGGAAAGAUGAAAAGAACUUUGAAAAGAGAGUGAAAAAGUACGUGAAAUUGUUGAAAUGGAAGGGUAGGCCGCUAACCAUGUAGAGCCGUGUUUGGGGGGAAGAUAAAUGCUGUAGACAUGUAGCUCCUCGGAGUAUUCAAUAGCAUGCAGUUCAUAUUCCCAACCCGUAGUCGUCGUAGGCAUCUCAGUU
This 463-nucleotide ribosomal RNA is filed under the name Starmerella bacillaris. Its description in RNAcentral is "partial large subunit ribosomal RNA". It matches the Rfam family "Eukaryotic large subunit ribosomal RNA", at positions 71 to 552 of the family's 3401-position model. The record is from RNAcentral. Lineage: Eukaryota; Fungi; Ascomycota; Dipodascomycetes; Dipodascales; Trichomonascaceae.